ACUCAUUCAGCAGAUACUUAGGAGCAGUCCCCAGGUCCUGGGAAUAGAAGGGUGGACGAGAGGGUCACCCAGAUUCUCCUCAUUAUAAUAAUAGCAAUAGCUACCCCUCUGGGUCCUUGUAUGUGCCAGGUCUUUACUAUGUGUUAAGCAAUUUUCAUUUAUUAUCUCCCUUGAUCUGUACAAAACCCAUGAGGGAGGAUUCAUAUUAAAAUCUCUGUUUUACAGAUGAGAAAACUGAGGCUUGGAAUGGUGAAGGAGGUCACUGAAAGUCACACUGUGAGUUAAACUGCAAAGCUGUGAAUGGAAAACCCCCUAAGGCCCUGCUCUUAGCUCCUCUUGGUUCCCUGUUGCAAAGAGGCAUUCCCCAGGCAGCUGUGAGGUGGAAAUCUCUGUCUUCAGGCUUGCGGCUGAGAAGUUUCCCAGAGACGAGAAGCUGGAGCCUUUGGAGACCCCACUCGGCUGAGGUCCCGGGACCACGAGGGGGCAGCAGAGGUCUGCUGCGCUGGCGGGAGGCUCUGUCCCCGGCUGACUGCAGGCUCCGGGCAGCUGUCCUGAGUUAAAACCUGAACCUCGGGUGGCCGAGAAUAGCAAGGGGCUGUCAUUCACGUGGGCAUCUUCCUUCCCAGGGUUUCGAAAGCCC
RNAcentral lists this long non-coding RNA (640 nucleotides) under Homo sapiens (human). RNAcentral's name for it is "HSALNT0303974". Lineage: Eukaryota; Metazoa; Chordata; Mammalia; Primates; Hominidae. The record is from RNAcentral.